This 449-nucleotide ribosomal RNA is filed under the name uncultured bacterium. RNAcentral describes it as "bacterial SSU rRNA". It matches the Rfam family "Bacterial small subunit ribosomal RNA", at positions 29 to 524 of the family's 1533-position model. The record is from RNAcentral.
AGCGAACGCUGGCGGCAGGCCUAAAACAUGCAAGUCGAACGGAUCCUUCGGGAUUAGUGGCGGACGGGUGAGUAACACGUGGGAACGUGCCUUUUGGUUCGGAACAACUCAGGGAAACUUGAGCUAAUACCGAAUGUGCCCUUCGGGGAAAGAUUAUCGCCAUUAGAGCGGCCCGCGUCUGAUUAGCUUGUUGGUGAGGUAAAGGCUCACCAAGGCGACGAUCAGUAGCUGGUCUGAGAGGAUGAUCAGCCACACUGGGACUGAGACACGGCCCAGACUCCUACGGGAGGCAGCAGUUAGGAAUCUUGCGCAAAUGGGGGAAACCCUGACGCAGCCAUGCCCGCGUGAAUGAUGAAGGUCUUAGGAUUGUAAAAUUCUUUCAGCGGGGACGAUAAUGACGUACCGCAGAAGAAGCCCCGGCUAAACUUCGUGCCAGCAGCCGCGGUAAU